AGUUCCGAAACGUUCCAGUCGAAGAAGACUCACGUAUCUACAAAUCCCAAUUUUCGUUUCGUAAAACGCCGUUCGGAGGUCGAAAUCAAUUCCGUUUGUUUCCCGUGAAAGUAGACUCACGCAUCUACGUUUCUACACCUUUCGUUCGUCAAACGACCCGUCGACUGCUCGUGCUUCGGAGUCUACGCAGGGUUAGCUGUUUGCCAAGAUCACGUGGAUAAGCAAGCAGUUUAUGAUUUGAAAGCUGGUCCACUCCGAUUCUUUUGAUUCCUCGGAGGUUUUUAUGUUAUUAAACUAGUUUCUAUUUUUUCGAACUCUUAGACCGCAGUAGAACUAGUUUAUACAUUACUUAUUAUUGCACUUUGGGAUUGUCGAUUUGAGCGACUAUUUAUUUUUGGCAUGUUCACUCCGGAUUAUU
Molecule: long non-coding RNA, 418 nt
Organism: Mercurialis annua (annual mercury)
Lineage: Eukaryota; Viridiplantae; Streptophyta; Magnoliopsida; Malpighiales; Euphorbiaceae
Exons: 4
Source: RefSeq, a predicted model, not a curated record